GCGAGUUCACCUCUUAUCCUGGAAGAAGAAAAACAACAAUCUUCCCAUACACAUAUCGAUGGGAUUCUCCGUGCUUUGACGGAUGGAAAGCAUAUGAGAAGAACCCCUUUCACCCAACUCAGAAUCCUGAUGGGACCAUCCAGAUGGGUCUUGCCGAGAAUUAGCUUUCCUUCGAUCUGGAAGAGUGUAUGAAGAACAAUCCUAAGGCGUCCAUUUGCACUUCAGAUGGGGCUGGCAAGUUCAAGGACGUUGCCAACGCCAAUUUCCAAUGAUAUUUUCCUGGAGACGCUUUCCUUGUUCCUUGCUUGUAUUAUCCAGCAUAAUGUGGACGAGAUCGGGACUGCAUCCGGUCUUUUACAUUUUCCAGAUGGCGGGGAAGUCGAAAACCCUGGCCAAGUAUAUUUUGUUGUGGAGGUUCUUUUUGGAAGUGGACGAGUGUUUCUGUGCUCAAACUGAUUCCCAGCAGUUUUGAUGGGUCCGUUAAGAUCACUCCUUUUACGUUGAUGUUGGCUUCUAUGACCUUGACGUAAUGCUGAUUUUUAUUUGUGGUAGGGUUACUUGGAAGUUGUUGGAGCUGUCAUAUUUAACCGGAGUUAUCUGUGCGCCGGUGAGCCAUCUUAUGUCCUUAUAAAUCUGAGAGAAAAGAAUUUGAGAACGAGAUACGCUUACAUGAGAAUAAAAUCAUAGGACAAGUAUAUGCAUAAACAUGCUUACAAAAGGAGAGACGUGUACAUGAGCUUUAUUUUUGGUCUGGUUCCCUCAAUGCUGCUAUAAUAAGCUCAUAAAGAUGCGGUAUCUCAAUUAUAUUUCUCUGCCUUAUGUUACUACUAAGUAUUGUUGGCAUCUAGAAUCACUUUGACCUAAAGUUCAUAAGUCAAAAUGACCGAUAUUUCCAGAUUCAGGAUAUUGAUUACUCUUAGUUCAAAUGACUUGACAGGGACAUAAGAUGGCUUACCGGCAUACAGAUAAUUCCGAUUAACUGUGACAGCUCCAACAACUUCCAAGUAACCCUGCCACAAAUAAAAAUCAGCAUUACACCAAGGCCAUAGAAGCCAACAUCAACGUAAAGGAGUGAUCUUAACGAACCCAUCAAACCUGCUGGGAAUCACUUUCAGCAGAGAAACACUCACCAGUCUAUUGAGCUUCACUUCCGAGAAGAACCUCCACGACAAAAUAUACUUGGCCAGGGUUUUCGACUUCCCCGCCACCUUGGAAAUAAUUCAAGAGAGUGCAAUCUUGAUCUCGUCCACAUUCUCUACAGUUUGUCCAAGCACAUAAGGUUUCCUGGCUUUCGCGUCUGCAUGAUCUGUCCCUACUAUGAUCAAGCAGCCAAUUGCACGAGGGAAAUGUCUAGUUUCGGAUUGGUCUCUUUGCAGACACAGCAUUUACUUACUUCCAUGCUCUCUGAUGAGAGCUUUGUAGAGAAUUUCCAAGAAGAGAGGAGGAGACUGGCCAAGAGGCAGAGUCUCUUUGUCAAAGGAUUCGAGCAAGACGUGGAAGACAAGGCUGGUCUUUUCGUGUGGAUGGAUUUGCAUCGCUUCAUGAAAGAAUUGAGGGCUCCACGCCGAAAUGAAGCUGUGGAGGGUGAUUAUACCGGAUGCGAAGGUCAAUGCAUCACAUGGGUCCUCUUUCCAUUGCCAGAAGCCCGGGAUUUUCGGGGUUUGCUUUGCUGAUAUGGAUGAUCACAGUGUAAGAGGCGCUUAUAAUUAUUAGAGAGUUUGUGACUAAGGGCAAUGACAUAGGUGAUGACGAGACAUUGUCGAAGAAGAAACAUCGGCAAAACACGAGUCUUAUGCUGGGUCUUACGUCCGAGAUAUGUGAUGAGAGCUUGAUGUCUUCUCAUCAUAGAAUGUCCCCUCAAUUAUCAGUGCCUCCUCAUUCACCAAUGGCUCGAGCGAGGACUUGAAGUGGCCAUAUUGGCUUUUUGCUGUUGUAUGGUGGAGUGUUCUCAACAGUUACGUAUCCCAUUUUACUAGGAUUAAAUCAUGACCAACCAUUUCUUUCCCCCAUUUGCUCGGAUGCUGUGUCAGCGCUUUCGUGGAACCUAAAAGCAUUUCAUUCCUAGAAACAGAUUUGUCUGUCCGAUUGUCAUAGUCCCAAAGGCAAGAGUCCCUACGAUAGAUCAUCUGAUGUACUACCAUUUUAUCGAUCAACUUAUCUAUUUUAUUUGGAAGUUCUUUUGUAGUCCUAGUAUUAUCAUUUUUUACAGUAUUGAAAUGUGAGAUGCAAAAGAUGCUUUCUCAUUUGGAAA
Eucalyptus grandis is the source of this 2251-nucleotide long non-coding RNA. RefSeq lists it as uncharacterized. Lineage: Eukaryota; Viridiplantae; Streptophyta; Magnoliopsida; Myrtales; Myrtaceae. The record is from RefSeq and is a predicted model, not a curated record. The transcript has 3 exons.